GGCCGGGAACUCAAAGGAGACUGCCAGUGAUAAACUGGAGGAAGGUGGGGAUGACGUCAAGUCAUCAUGGCCCUUACGACCAGGGCUACACACGUGCUACAAUGGCAUAUACAAAGAGAAGCGACCUCGCGAGAGCAAGCGGACCUCAUAAAGUAUGUCGUAGUCCGGAUUGGAGUCUGCAACUCGACUCCAUGAAGUCGGAAUCGCUAGUAAUCGUGGAUCAGAAUGCCACGGUGAAUACGUUCCCGGGCCUUGUACACACCGCCCGUCACACCAUGGGAGUGGGUUGCAAAAGAAGUAGGUAGCUUAACCUUCGGGAGGGCGCUUACCACUUUGUGAUUCAUGACUGGGGUGAAGUCGUAACAAGGUAACCGUAGGGGAACCUGCGGUUGGAUCACCUCCUUACCUUAAAGAA
This 415-nucleotide ribosomal RNA is filed under the name Citrobacter koseri. RNAcentral describes it as "bacterial SSU rRNA". It matches the Rfam family "Bacterial small subunit ribosomal RNA", at positions 1129 to 1533 of the family's 1533-position model. The record is from RNAcentral. Lineage: Bacteria; Pseudomonadati; Pseudomonadota; Gammaproteobacteria; Enterobacterales; Enterobacteriaceae.